RNAcentral lists this ribosomal RNA (325 nucleotides) under uncultured eukaryote. RNAcentral describes it as "partial 18S ribosomal RNA". It matches the Rfam family "Eukaryotic small subunit ribosomal RNA", at positions 1470 to 1796 of the family's 1831-position model. The record is from RNAcentral.
CCCUUAGAUGUCCUGGGCCGCACGCGCGCUACACUGAUGCAUUCAACGAGUUUUUCCUUGGCCGAGAGGCCUGGGCAAUCUUGUGAACGUGCGUCGUGAUAGGGAUAGAUUCUUGCAAUUAUUAAUCUUGAACGAGGAAUUCCUAGUAAACGCAGAUCAUCAAUCUGCAUUGAUUACGUCCCUGCCCUUUGUACACACCGCCCGUCGCACCUACCGAUUGAAUGGUCCGGUGAAGCCUCGAGAUUGUGGCUAGCUUGCUUCAUUGCGAGUUAGUUGCGAGAACUUGUCUAAACCUUAUCAUUUAGAGGAAGGUGAAGUCGUANCA